GAAAUGCGAGAAGUAAUGUGAAUUGCAGAAUUCCGUGAAUCAUCGAAUCUUUGAACGCACAUUGCGCCCUCUGGCAUUCCGGGGGGCAUGCCUGUCCGAGCGUCAUUACGCACCCUCAAGCCCGGCUUGUGUGAUGGGCCCUGGCGUCUCGUUCGCGAGACGGGCCCGAAAGGCAGCGGCGGCGUCGACCCGAUGAGCCAGAGCGUAUGGGGACUUUUGUCACACGUUUGCGGUGCGGACCGGCGCCUGCUUGACUUUUCUGAUUAUCCAGGUUGACCUCGGAUCAGGUAGGGAUACCCGCUGAACUUAAGC
Molecule: unclassified non-coding RNA, 312 nt
Filed under: plant metagenome
Description: partial contains 5.8S ribosomal RNA, internal transcribed spacer 2, and large subunit ribosomal RNA
Rfam family: 5.8S ribosomal RNA (bases 1-105)
Source: RNAcentral